Molecule: transfer RNA, 69 nt
Filed under: Capra hircus (goat)
Lineage: Eukaryota; Metazoa; Chordata; Mammalia; Artiodactyla; Bovidae
Also listed under: 1 other name
Rfam family: tRNA
About the family: Transfer RNA (tRNA) molecules are approximately 80 nucleotides in length. Their secondary structure includes four short double-helical elements and three loops (D, anti-codon, and T loops).
Source: Rfam by way of RNAcentral
CCUGGUGGCUCAGAUGGUAGAGAAUCUACCUGAAAUGCAGGAGACACAGGUUCAAUUCCUGUGUCAGGA